GGUUUUGUAGCCCUGAUAGUACUUCAGCGCUUGAGUGACACGGCUUCCUUUCCAGUGGAAAUAGAUUUUAUCUAAAUCAUAGUAGUUGCCCAUCAAAUAUGCUGAUGGGAGGAAGUGGUUCAGUGGGAAGGGUUCAUGCAUGUGUUUUGGUAUUCAGGCACAGUUUGAAGAGCCAGAAAUGCCUUGUGGAAUUCACAAGUAUUUUGGGGUUCUUCCCUGUUUGCCUGAUCUCAGGCAGGGAAGUAGUUGUAGAAAAGCUUCCUGCGAUGGUUGGCCUAAGCAAGACCACUUGGUAAUAGUAAGGAAAUGAAAAUUGAUGCAAGUUCCCUUCCUUUCCUAACUAGAAAUAAGAAAUCAGACAAAACCCAGCAGAUGACUGAGUAUCUGCACUUUGAGAUGAGGAUCUUCACAAAUGUCCAGGCAUUUCUUUGCAGCAGCUUGACUCCUCACCACAUCGUCCCAAGUUGCUUUAUAGUUUCAGGGUUACUUGGGAUUUCCUCUGAAUGUAUUUGCAACUUUCCAUUAUGCAAUACUGUAUUAAAAUUCAGUAUUUGUAAGACCAUUGCAUCCUAAUGACUGUCAUAGGGCAGACUUGGUGUGCACAGUGUUUACAGGAGGCCAGUUUUAUGCAAGUUGUUACUUUAAAUCAAAUCCCGUGCUGUUCUUACUGUGCAGCUGAGGAGUGUCAGGCUCCAGCGCUUGCAGUAGCUUCCAGUCACAGACUGAUGCGUCAGAUUCUGCCAUCUGUACACUUGCUGCAGAGGUUUCAUUUGACUGGCAGGUUGGUGGCAACUGUGUAAUUGCAUUUGUAACAGAAUGAAUAAAAAGCUGUUUGAAUUUACCAUUAGCUACACCUCACAACUCAGAUUUCUAUCUCGGAACCAAGCAGCAUUCUCUCCAAUUUAUUUUUUUCAGGAUGAGUGUUAACUGGAAGCAGAGAAAAUACUUAAUGGCAGGAAAAUGCCAUGUAAACCAAAACUGAAAGAGCACACCCAGUUCUGUGUAUUUCCCUUAGAAGAAGUUUCUGGAGUAAGUGAAGGGAGCUUAGCUUCAUUAGUUGAACAAUGGGAGUUUCUUACUGUUACGCCAGAACUUUGUUAUUUUCUUUUUGUGUGUAAGAAACUCAAGAAUUCUCAGCAGGUUCUUUAUGUGACUGUAUUUCAAAAUGUUCUUUUCCAACUGAGAGACCAGGCAAAGCAGAAUGAGAGCUCUAGUAAUUGCCGGUGGUGAAUGCUGAGUGGUCUUCAGUCUCGCUGCUAACAGAAUUCCCUUCAGUCGGUGCUGACUUCACCAUAUUCAGUUCAGAAUUCCUCAGCCCGACUUGUCUUGUUUCUGUGAAGUGCUGUGCCAAGCUGAGGGAAUACCCUGAGCCACCGGAGCCCCUGGUCCCUCUGGGCUGUGCCCUGGCUGCCCAGUGCUGUGAUAUGACCAGAGACCCAAGGCAGGGCAAGGUGGUGGCUCCACUUUCCCACCCACAUCCCUUUGAUCCUGUCCCAUGGGCCUGGCCAUGUCCUGCUCUGCCCACAGCAGGUUGUCUGUCCCUGGGUCUCUCCAGGGCACCACAAGGUGCUUAAGCACAGAAUGUUAGUUUUUAAAGUUUACAUUUCAAGUAUGUAAAUUGUAUACAUUUUACUUUGUCCUUAAUUGUUAACUGUAUAGUCUUCAAACCAUGAAAGGGUCUCUUCUUUGUGUUUUAAUAGACAUGUAAAUAUGUGGCCAUAAAGCAACUGGUAAAGAAUAUGAGAGCUGAAACUGCCAUUUACAGUAAGCUCCAUGUUUUAGUAAGUAGAUAAAUUUGCAUUAAAAUGCAAAUCCAGCACACAGUAUUAUAUUUGCAUCUGAAAGACACAGGUUCCAUAGCUCAUUUAAAGAGGAAGGCAGCUGUAAGUACUGCUGUGAACUGUGCACUUCUGCUCUGCCUACAGGUUCCUUUUUGCCUGGGCUAUCCUCUGCUUUGAACAAUCAGCAGGUAAUUCUAUCUCACAAGACAGAAAAGCUCAUUGUUGACCAUAAGAAGUCAGCAUGAAUUGGUAAAUGUCUUUAUGAAGGAUACUUUUUCAUUGGAGAAAGAAUUUGUGGCAACAGAACAGAGAUUAAUGUAAGCCAAGUGUCAUGGAAGUGUUAAAGAAAGUGCCUUGACUGGUUCCAGCAAAAGAGAACACAUUGUGCAGGGAGUAAGGAGAAAAGGGAACUAGUAACAUUCAGUAGUGUGAGUUUGCAGUGGAGUUUUAAAAGCAGUCACUGUCUACCAAAUCGAUGUUUCAUUUUUCAUAUAAACAUGCUGACACUAACUUUCCUUUCUGGACUUUAUCUAGGAAAUAUUUGGGUUUGUAUCUAAUAAGUUUUGUAUCUAAUGAGUACUGAAGUAUUAAAGAACCCUGGCAGAGCAUCAGAGCACCUACCUGCUGAUUGCCCACCUGCAUCUGUGAACUUAUUUUACCAUAGGAGGGAAAAAAGGUGUUCCAGGACAUGCGCAGACAAGUCUAGGAAGCGGGUUCAGCUAUAGAUGGGUGGCUUUAAAACAGAAAACACUUUUACUGAAUCUUAUGUGGUCUUGAUAAAUCAAAGUUCUUAUGCUUUCCUUGACAGGUACAAAACUCCACAUGCAAACCCAUAACUGUUUAUGAUUGUCCCACUACGACAGUUCACUACAUUUACUUGUCAACACGCUGCCAUUGGAGCAAUAAAAAUGUCAAGCUAUUACUAUUCAAUGUACAUUAUUUAUCAUUUCAGUAAGAAAUGUUGUGUGAUUCUUCUGCCUUUUUUGUUCUCUGCUUUUGGUGUUCUUACGGUCUUGAAACAUUACUUGUACUGCUUCAGAAAAGUGGUUUUGUUUAAGCUGUAUGAAACUUUGUUCACUACAUUUUAAUCUUGUUUAUAAGUAAACAGCCACUUUUGUAACAGGACCUCACCCUCGGACCACAUCUUGAGAGUUUUCUCUUUUUCUUUUCUUCCCUUUUUUUAAAUGAAAAUAAACCUCUGAGCUCGCUUUCUACAACUCACUGCACUGGCUUGUGCCAUUACAAGAAGCUGGAAGUCAGAUGUGCUUAAUCACUUUGAGACAUUUUUCUUUAAUUAAAUUUCAAGAUAAAAA
Long non-coding RNA from Strigops habroptila (Kakapo), 3094 nucleotides. NCBI's taxonomy places the organism in Eukaryota, Metazoa, Chordata, Aves, Psittaciformes, Psittacidae. The record is from Ensembl.